CCAGCGAUGGCCGCGGAAGGGGCGAGCUGGGGCCCAGUCCACAGAGGUUGACUGGGCCGAGGAUUGGAGACCCUUGUCGGACGUAUACCGUGUGUUCCUCACGUGUCUGUUCCGCCGCCGCCACCUCCCAGCAAGGGACUCAGCAGUCACCUAUCACCUGUCACCACCUGUGCAGUGGAGAUGGGGAGGCAGAAGAGAAAGCAAGUGGAUCCCACCUCAAGUGAUGAAAAGGGAUCACAUCCAGGAUCCCAUGUUACAUGUAAUUUAAUUGUCCUAUCUAAUCUCCUCUUGCCUGUGGCAGAUUCAGAUUCUCCUUGUUUUUGAUGGCCUUGACAGUUUUGAGGAGUGCUGCUCAGGAAAGGAACAGAAGUGAACAUGGAAUUCAGCCUGAGAAGGAGGGAGGUGCAGAGGCUGUGUGCACGAGGCAGGUGGAGUGUCAGAGCACAG
Molecule: non-coding RNA, 447 nt
Organism: Marmota flaviventris (yellow-bellied marmot)
Lineage: Eukaryota; Metazoa; Chordata; Mammalia; Rodentia; Sciuridae
Source: RefSeq, a predicted model, not a curated record